CGUUUUGCGAAAUUCCAUUUUUGCCAAUUCGACCCCUCAGCAAAUAUCUCGCGAUUUCCGAAGAUCCGUCCGUCGGAUUUCCGAACGGAUCACACCAGCAUGUUCAGCAUGACUGGGGCAUCGAACCUAGCAUUUCGUUUGAUCCAAUUUGGUCGUCGAUUUGCAACGAAACCCACCAUCAAUGUUUCCACUAUAAAACACAUAUAUAUACACAUAUAUAUAUAAAUCCAAUCAAACCCCUUUUUCUCAAAAACCGUGCAUCAGAUCUGAGAUCCGUCAGCGCCAUUGGUUCUAGAAUAGCUGAACUGUUCAAAACGAGCUAUUGGAUCAGUAUAAUCGAAGUCCAAUAUGUGCCAGAAGCCAUCUUCACUCAUUGGCUUCUCCGAAAAAUCGGAGUUACUAUUCACUUAAGUUAAAACUAAAAAUCGCGUAGCUUCUCCAUCAUAACUCAUUUUCUCCUGAAACUUGACGAGUGCUUAUGUAAUUACAUUACACACAAAAACAUCGUCAAUAGAGAGUUUAGCUACACUGUCAAAAUCUUAGUCCUUACAUCAUCCCCCCCUCCCUUAAAAGAAGUUUCGUCCCCGAAACUUGACCAUGUACCCACCGUAAUCAAAAUCAGACAUUGCUCC
RNAcentral lists this long non-coding RNA (632 nucleotides) under Ananas comosus (pineapple). Its description in RNAcentral is "long non-coding RNA (ACOM_LNC029299)". The record is from RNAcentral. Lineage: Eukaryota; Viridiplantae; Streptophyta; Magnoliopsida; Poales; Bromeliaceae.